ANNNNAUAUAUAUAUAUAUAUAUAUUAAUGUAUGAUGCAUAUAAAUUUUUGAAAUUUAAAGAUAUAGUUUAAUUCUAUAAGAUAUAA
This 87-nucleotide transfer RNA is filed under the name Phryganea cinerea. RNAcentral describes it as "tRNA-Gln". The record is from RNAcentral. Lineage: Eukaryota; Metazoa; Arthropoda; Insecta; Trichoptera; Phryganeidae.